UUUUGGUUUCCCGGUUGAGGUUUUAUUCGGAGUUUGUUGUUCUUAUUUUAAUUAUAUCUGCUUUUAUUUUUGAGUUGUUAGAUAUUUGUUUGUUUGCUCUUCUAAUUCUUCUUUUACGUCAAUGUCAAUUGUGAUACAUAAGAAUAAUCAAGGUAUGCUCUUAAAAAGGAAGACAAUUGUGAUUCUCAAUAGAUUGGAUAAGAU
Molecule: long non-coding RNA, 204 nt
Filed under: Cicer arietinum (chickpea)
Lineage: Eukaryota; Viridiplantae; Streptophyta; Magnoliopsida; Fabales; Fabaceae
Description: long non-coding RNA (CARI_LNC000366)
Source: RNAcentral